This 488-nucleotide ribosomal RNA is filed under the name uncultured Leptothrix sp. RNAcentral describes it as "bacterial SSU rRNA". It matches the Rfam family "Bacterial small subunit ribosomal RNA", at positions 8 to 491 of the family's 1533-position model. The record is from RNAcentral. Lineage: Bacteria; Pseudomonadati; Pseudomonadota; Betaproteobacteria; Burkholderiales; Sphaerotilaceae.
AGAGUUUGAUCAUGGCUCAGAUUGAACGCUGGCGGCAUGCCUUACACAUGCAAGUCGAACGGUAACGCGGGGCAACCUGGCGACGAGUGGCGAACGGGUGAGUAAUGCAUCGGAACGUGCCCAGUAGUGGGGGAUAGCCCGGCGAAAGCCGGAUUAAUACCGCAUACGACCUAUGGGUGAAAGCGGGGGGCUCGCAAGAGCCUCGCGCUAUUGGAGCGGCCGAUGUCAGAUUAGCUAGUUGGUGGGGUAAAGGCCUACCAAGGCGACGAUCUGUAGCUGGUCUGAGAGGACGACCAGCCACACUGGGACUGAGACACGGCCCAGACUCCUACGGGAGGCAGCAGUGGGGAAUUUUGGACAAUGGGCGCAAGCCUGAUCCAGCCAUGCCGCGUGCGGGAAGAAGGCCUUCGGGUUGUAGACCGCUUUUGUCAGGGAAGAAACGCUCUGGGCUAAUACCCUGGGGUAAUGACGGUACCUAAGUAUAGACC